GCGGCCAGGAGCGCCCGGCGCAGGUGGGCUCUCCCCGCCCCACACUGGUUUCUCUUCCGAGGUUGCUCCUUCGCCUCCAGCGCCCGAGCAAGGGCAGGCAGGGGACCGACUCCUCUUGUGAUGCGUUGGGGGGACUGUUCUGGGGUCUCUCGCCGAAGCCAGGACCGCGCCCACAAACGGCUUUCCAAAGUCGCAGUCCUGGAGGCCCCACCUUGGCUGAAGGCACAAGCUGCUGUCAUCCCCCAAAAGCCCUUGCAGAGAACGUGCUGGUUCCUUGGCCGCACUCUGUCCACUGAUGUCACAGAACUGGGGCCUGAGAUCUAA
Molecule: long non-coding RNA, 324 nt
Filed under: Crocodylus porosus (Australian saltwater crocodile)
Lineage: Eukaryota; Metazoa; Chordata; Crocodylia; Crocodylidae
Description: lncRNA (ENSCPRG00005003104.1)
Source: RNAcentral